This 467-nucleotide ribosomal RNA is filed under the name uncultured bacterium. Its description in RNAcentral is "partial 16S ribosomal RNA". It matches the Rfam family "Bacterial small subunit ribosomal RNA", at positions 28 to 507 of the family's 1533-position model. The record is from RNAcentral.
GAUGAACGCUGGCGACGUGCUUAACACAUGCAAGUCGAACGGAAAGGCCUCUUUCGGGGGGUACUCGAGUGGCGAACGGGUGAGUAACACGUGAGUAACCUGCCCUUGACUUUGGGAUAACUUCAGGAAACUGGGGCUAAUACCGGAUAGGAGCUCCUGCUGCAUGGUGGGGGUUGGAAAGUUUCGGCGGUUGGGGAUGGACUCGCGGCUUAUCAGCUUGUUGGUGGGGUAGUGGCUUACCAAGGCUUUGACGGGUAGCCGGCCUGAGAGGGUGACCGGCCACAUUGGGACUGAGAUACGGCCCAGACUCCUACGGGAGGCAGCAGUGGGGAAUAUUGCACAAUGGGUGGAAGCCUGAUGCAGCAACGCCGUGUGCGGGAUGACGGCCUUCGGGUUGUAAACCGCUUUCGCUCAUGACGAAGCUUUGUGUGACGGUAGUGGGUAAAGAAGCACCGGCUAACUACGUG